AAACCACCCAUAAAGCAAGGCAUUAUCAACGGGCUGUGAGUGUGGCCAGCAUUGACUUUGGCAGUAGAGGUCUGGAUUUGCUAAGCCUCACGGGACUCAGGAGGCAACUUGAAGAGGCUUCUACUAGAAUGGUUUUGGCAUUAUCAAGGAUAAUUGGCACAGACUGAAAUACAUCAAAUAUGCUAAAAUCCAUGAGUUCAGAAUGACGUCAAACAAAUAGAAAAACAAUGACGGCCAACAACAAGAAAAAAAACAAAUG
RNAcentral lists this long non-coding RNA (259 nucleotides) under Piliocolobus tephrosceles (Ugandan red Colobus). RNAcentral describes it as "lncRNA (ENSPTEG00000018213.1)". The record is from RNAcentral. Lineage: Eukaryota; Metazoa; Chordata; Mammalia; Primates; Cercopithecidae.